RNAcentral lists this ribosomal RNA (448 nucleotides) under Camellia piquetiana. RNAcentral's name for it is "partial large subunit ribosomal RNA". It matches the Rfam family "Eukaryotic large subunit ribosomal RNA", at positions 2927 to 3377 of the family's 3401-position model. The record is from RNAcentral. Lineage: Eukaryota; Viridiplantae; Streptophyta; Magnoliopsida; Ericales; Theaceae.
GAUUGUUCACCCACCAAUAGGGAACGUGAGCUGGGUUUAGACCGUUGUGAGACAGGUUGGUUUUACCCUACUGAUGACAGUGUCGCAAUAGUAAUUCAACCAAGUACGAGAGGAACUGUUGAUUCGCACAAUUGGUCAUCGCGCUUGGAUGAAAAGCCAGUGGCGCGAAGCUACCAUGCGCUGGAUUAUGACUGAACGCCUCUAAGUCAGAAUUCGGGCUAGAAGUGACGCAUGUGCCCACCGCCCGCUUGCCGACCCGCAGUAGGGGCCAAACGGCCUCCAAGGGCACAUGUCGUUGGUAAAGCCCGCACGGCGGACGAGCUGCACGGGCCGCCUUGAAGUACAAUUCCUGUCUCGAGCGGUGGGUAGAAUCCUUUGCAGACGACUUAAAUACGCGACGGGAUAUUGUAAGUGGCAGAGUGGCCUUGCUGCCACAAUCCACUGAGAU